This is a long non-coding RNA of Equus caballus (horse), 2588 nucleotides long. Lineage: Eukaryota; Metazoa; Chordata; Mammalia; Perissodactyla; Equidae. The record is from Ensembl.
CGGGGCUGCUCUGCCGGGCGGGGGUCUUCGCGAGGGUCCGUUUAUGGGCUCGAGCGGGAUUAGGGCACGGGGUGCUCCCCAUAGGGCGUUAUGGGUCUGGGGUCGGAGCGUGAUCCACUUGAUCUGGGUCUUGAGGAUCCGGAGGUCUGGUACUGUCGCCACCCUGGGCAGUUGGUAAGUCGUAGCGAGUCCCCGGUCCGCAAGCUGAGCUGAAUGAGGCGUUUUGGGGCGAGUUCACUGGCUGAGUCCGAGGAGGGGGAGCAGCCUGACUCCCCGCCCGGCAAAGAGGGGUACAGUAAGAAUCACUAGGAGGUAGGCACUUCGGGGACACUUUGGGGUGGGGGCGGGGCCUUCGCUAGUCGGGGAAGGGCAGAGGUUGCUCUUGUCUAAGGCUCAUGACGUCAGAGGCUUGACAUCUCAUGGUUCAAGGCUCAGGGUGUCAGGGACCAGCCUCUGUUGUUGCUAAAGUGGGGGGUUGGCACAGCCGUCGGAUUCGUCUUAGGAUCUGGUGGCGUGGGAGAAAAAGGCAUGAAGUUUGAUUUUAGGUACUCAAGGACAGGGAGAAUUUGUGGGGGCUAGAGCUUGGAGAGGCUUGUGGGGAGAGGGAGGAGGAAUGGGCCCUAGCUAACUCGAGCUUGGAACUCAAGGAGCAUGGGGCCAGUCAGGGUCUAGGGCCUGCUGGUUUUCAUUGGUCCGGGGAGAGGAGGGAGGGCCCUGACAGCUAAUUAGCAUCUUUUCUGUUUGACACCCCUUGCGUUCUCCUUUAAUCUUACUGCAGUCUCCCGUUUUAUCUCAGUGGGGGAGGAGGAAGAGGCCAGAAGAGCCUUUGGGUCUGCUUGCCUAGCGUUGGUCAGAGCUGGUGGAGAAAUGGGGAGGCUGUGCUGUACCUCCUGGAGGGUGCCUUAGGGCCCUGCAUUCCAGUUAGAGACUUUCAGUGAUGGAGUCCCUGCGUCUCCCUGAGCCUAGUGCUCAUGUUUAGUUACAGUGUUCUAAAAGGAGUCUUUUAAGACACCAAGUUCCAUGUUGUUCGACUUUUAGAAUUCUGCAUUUUGUUGUUCUACAUUCAGAACUACUGCUGUACGUUUGAAAUCAUCAAUCAUAGUCAUUCCUCCGUUGAUGAGAGAGGCUGGUGUCUUGGAAGGCUUUGGGCUGGAGGCCUGCGGCCUGUUGGCUGUGCAACCUUAAGCAUUAAAGACUAUUCCAACUGGCCCACCAUCCCGCAGGUGUACCUCAACGGCGAGUUCGUGGGGGGCUGUGACAUCCUUCUGCAGAUGCACCAGAACGGGGACCUGGUGGAAGAACUGAGAAAGCUGGGCAUCCGCUCCGCCCUUUUAGAUGAGAAGAAAGACCAAGACUCCAAGUGAGGGCGGCGCGGGUCGCCCUGAGCUCGACGCUCGGGAGCCCUGGGCUCAGAGACUCACUGCCAGAGAAGCCUUAGCGAUUUGGGUUUCACUGUCCCGACGGCUGCCUGCGCCGAUGCCUGCGGCGUGAGCGGUCGGCGAUCUCAGUGUGUCUGCUGUCGGGCUGAGAAUAUUCCAUUGUGAACUGAAUUAUAAGCACUGCGCUGUAGUAACUCAAUGUUGUAUCAUGAUCUUGCUAUAAACAAAAUUUGUUCUUAUAGUGUCCUUUGCUCUUUGCCUGAUUCAGGAGUAAAACUAGGAGCUUUUGAAUCAUCAUUAUUCACGAGUCCUCUGCGAAUGUGUCGGUCUGCAAAGAUGAUAUAUCCACCCAAGUUUUUUAUAACUUGUUCUGUUAAGAAAAAUGAUGGACAAAGAAGAAAAUGUGAUAACUGGGUAUUGUUUUUUAAAAUAAACUGCCAACCCAGGGAUACCGUGUGUGAAUUGUUAAUUCUGAAUAGCAGUAAGUCUCUGUCCUAGUCCGUUCAGGCCGCUGUAACAAAAUACCGUAGCCCGGGUGGCUUAUAAACAACAGACGUUUAUUUCUCACGGUUCUGGAGGCUGGAAGUCCAAAUUCAAGGCUCCAGCACAUUCGGUGUCUGGUGAGGGCCUGCUCCUGGUUCCUAGACAGCAUCUUCUCACUGUGUCUUCACUAGGAAGCUCUCUGGGGUCCCUUUAAUAAGGGCACUGAUUCCAUUCAUGGGGGCCCUUCCCUCCUGACCUGACCGCCUCCCAGAGGCCCCGUGUCCUAACACCAGCACUUUGCCGGUUAGGUGUCUAUAAUAUAGGAAUUUUGAGGAGACAGACAUUCAGUCUAUAUCAGUCUAUAAGGGCUUUUGGUACCUGUGACCUUUUGUUUUUAGGAAUUGAGUGGAUUAGGAUUCUCAUGUUCUUCUCUAAGAUUUGCCAUCAAGCUGUGUUCUGAUUUCUUCCGGUAGACGGUAUCUUUUUAUAAGACUCAGUGUUUCUCCAUCCCGAGACCGUGGUGAUGGAGCUGGAGGAGAGCUUUACAGUGCUUCAUGGGGAGAAAGCCCAUCCCGUCACAUGUGCCGUUGGAUCCCCAGACACCCUCAUUCAUCUCUGGGGGCUCAAACAGAGCGUCUAUUUGGAAUUGCAUCUUUACAGUGGCAGAAGUAGGAAGAAGGAUGCAUUUUUUAAUGAAAAGGGCAAAAAUGACAAGGAAAGAAGGAU